Molecule: ribosomal RNA, 283 nt
Filed under: Vibrio cyclitrophicus
Lineage: Bacteria; Pseudomonadati; Pseudomonadota; Gammaproteobacteria; Vibrionales; Vibrionaceae
Description: partial 23S ribosomal RNA
Rfam family: Bacterial large subunit ribosomal RNA
Source: RNAcentral
AAAGGGGCUGCUCCUAGUACGAGAGGACCGGAGUGGACGAACCUCUGGUGUUCGGGUUGUCAUGCCAAUGGCAUUGCCCGGUAGCUAAGUUCGGAAUCGAUAACCGCUGAAAGCAUCUAAGCGGGAAGCGAGCCUUGAGAUGAGUUUUCCCUGGCACUAUAGUGUCCUAAAGGGUUGUCGUAGACUACGACGUUGAUAGGCAGGGUGUGUAAGUGCUGCGAGGCAUUGAGCUAACCUGUACUAAUUGCCCGUGAGGCUUAACCAUACAACACCCAAGGGGUUU